Molecule: non-coding RNA, 144 nt
Filed under: fish gut metagenome
Source: RNAcentral
GCGUUGUUGACUAUCUGGGAAAUAGGUUAAAUUCCUAUGCGGUUCCCGCCACUGUAAUGAGGAUGAAAGUAGCAUAACCACUGAGAAAUUGGGAAGGGCUAUUAGUAAAGUGAUUCUAAGCCAGGAGACCUGCCUUUAAAAUUU